UGAUCACCGCCGGAGCCGU
This 19-nucleotide unclassified non-coding RNA is filed under the name Mus musculus (house mouse). Its description in RNAcentral is "oocyte_clustered_small_RNA11895". Lineage: Eukaryota; Metazoa; Chordata; Mammalia; Rodentia; Muridae. The record is from RNAcentral.